CUCAGCUCCACGUGCUCCCUAUUGGUACCGUACCGUUCCUGCAACCUAUGCCCAUGAUACUGCCGUAACACCGGAAUAACACCAUCAUUAUCAUACCUUUUUCACUGCUUGAUGCAAUAUCUGUCCUGAACUUUUCCUGAAACACGAAUACAAAACACUGAAGGUUUAUUUUUACAAAAAGUUAAGUAAAAGUAUAUCAUCAUGUUCCGAAUGCAACCCCCUGGACCACCACCAGAGAAGUCACAAGAAGAGCAGGCCUUGAUGAGGAAAGCAGUCAUUGGGAAUGUCACCAUCUUUGCUGCAAUAGUGGCUGCAUUGAGAUUAACCCCCAUUGUCUUGGAUCAGAUAGGUUUCUAUGAAUCAUGAUAGCCUCUGCUCAAACUGAACAACUGAUUGGGCUGUGCUUCAGUUGAGAGGGUGAAACCUCUUCCAUUAACAGUGGAUGUAGGUGUGACGGUCUGAUUGAAGAUAUUUGCUUAUUAAUCUAAAUAUUAAAGAACAAGAAGUGGAGCUGUUGAAACAUUAUAUUGAAAGAACUGUAUGAACAGUGGGCAAAUUACAUAUGGGUACUGCAUAAAUAUUUAAAACAAUAAAGAUGGCCCUAUUACCUAGAUUGAUAUGACGGCUAUUUCCCACUUGAAAUUAAAUUCAAUCAUUUUGUAGAGCUGAUUUAAUUCUUAUAGUGGCAAGCCAGGAAAUUUAUUUUAUCACAGAGGUAUUCCAUCAUAUUAAUAUAAACAAAGCAUCUUGUGCAAAUUCAUUCCAACAUGGAAAUGAUCUGUUUUUCCUUGACUUAUCUCCAUGCAAAGCUAUGUUAAUUACAUAACAUGGCGAAGGGUUAAAAGCAGCUUGCAUUUCACAUAGUAUUGGGCAAAUUCCAAUGCACUUGUACGUGAAAUUUACCCAAUAUUGGAUAAUGACCAUGCCCAAAUUUAUUUUCCUCCAAAGUUAAUUGAAAUGAUCUGAACAUUGACUUCCCCAAAUGUGUUGUACAUAUAUGUUAAAGGUUGAAUGCAGUAUUUCAAUGUGAAUCAUAUGUCAGCAGGGAAGUGGUAGUACAUAUCUUUAAUAAUAAUAGUAAAAAUGAAGAAAGAUAUGAUUGAUUAUACCAUCCCUAUUCUGCUACAAAUCAACUUGAAAGUCUAGUCUCUAUCCAGCUGUACACUUUACAAUCGAUAUUAGAAAAUGCAGCAGUCCUGUAGGAUUAUAUGUAUUACAUAACCAUUUCCUACCACACAAACACCCUUCAAACUAUAUGUUAUAACCAAAGGCACAAAGAUGUAAUGUGCAUACAUGCAAAAACUUGUAUGCAACGGCUAAUAUAUAAAAAUGAAAACUAUUGGUUACCAGCAAUAUUAUUUAAUUUACUUUUCAGGCUAAACACUUGAUUCAAGCUUUAUGCACUUAAUAUCAGACCAUAAAUUCUAAAUGAUUUUGAGACAUUUUGAUUGUUGAUUCCUAACUUAACGGCCAGAAAAUAUGAUUAUAAUAAGCUUUUUGUAUGUCUGAAAAAGCUAUAAAAACAUGAUAACUUUCAUGAUUGUGAAAAGUGUCUUGUCCAUAUAUGAUGUGUUACUGCUUCUAUCUAUGAAGUCCACCUUGCAUAUGUUGAAUGAAUCUACAGGGAACUGCUUUAGCUUCACCUUACUACAAUUUUACCAAAAGCACUGUAGCGAAAUGAGUUCUUAAAAUGAAAAAAGCAUCUCUGCUUUUUUAAUUUGACCAAGUUCAAACUUCUGAAAGUUUAACUUUUGCGAGGUUGACUUAUUUAUUCUGUGUGAUGUAAACUAUUUUUGUUGUGAUAAUUUUGAGGUAUUUUGUCAAUGACAAAUAUUGCUCUUCUAUACCCUUUUUACACAGGAUUUUUCUUAGCCCCGGACUAUCGCUAACCCUGUACUAUCCUUAGCCCUGUCCAAUUUUUUUUUCCUUUUCACACAUGCCAAAUUGUUAUUGCUAACCCCGGAUAAGGAAUGCUUGCUUUUCACACACGAAACUCGCUAACCCCGGACUAGUGGUAGCUGAUGAAUAUUCACGAGCGUCGAUGAGGAAAGUAUUAAAACACGAAUUCCAACUCACUGACUUAUGGCGCGUGCUUUUUCUCAUCGCCGUGUUCGCUGUUCAUGAAUAUUCAUUAUGCUUACCUCUGAUUUGACAGCAGGGCCGGCUCUAUUGUGGGGUAUGAAUGGGAGCGCUUAGCCCACUUUCAUUUUACACUAGCGAUCUUAACCCGUACUAUCGCUCUUAGCACCGCAAUUGCUUGAAUAACCCUCCUUUUUUGCAUGGCCAAAUAAUCCCUUACUAAAGGUGGGGUGAGCCCACUUUGCAAAAAUGCUGUGUAAAAAGAAAGUGGGCUAAGCUUAACCACGUACUAUGGGUGGGGCUAAAUGGCAAUUUAGCCCCACCUAGAGUACGGGGUUAAGGAAAUUUUAGCGCGUGUAAAGAGGGUACUAGACAUUAUGGAAGGAUUACUAAGAAAUAUAAAAUAAAACAGGACUUUAUAAACAA
Long non-coding RNA from Lytechinus variegatus (green sea urchin), 2505 nucleotides. RefSeq lists it as uncharacterized. The record is from RefSeq and is a predicted model, not a curated record. The transcript is spliced from 3 exons. NCBI's taxonomy places the organism in Eukaryota, Metazoa, Echinodermata, Echinoidea, Temnopleuroida, Toxopneustidae.